AUACGGGGGGGACGAGCGUUGUUCGGAUUCACUGGGCGUAAAGGGCGUGUAGGCGGACCUUUAAGUCGGGCGUGAAAUCUCGGGGCUUAACCCCGAGCCUGCGUCCGAUACUAUUGGUCUUGAGUAUGUGAGAGGAAAGUGGAAUUCCAGGUGUAGCGGUGGAAUGCGUAGAUAUCUGGAAGAACACCGGUAGCGAAGGCGGCUUUCUGGCACAAUACUGACGCUGAGGCGCGAAGGCCGGGGGAGCAAACAGAAUUAGAAACCCUUGUAGUCC
This 274-nucleotide ribosomal RNA is filed under the name uncultured bacterium. Its description in RNAcentral is "partial 16S ribosomal RNA". It matches the Rfam family "Bacterial small subunit ribosomal RNA", at positions 523 to 796 of the family's 1533-position model. The record is from RNAcentral.